This is a long non-coding RNA of Balaenoptera acutorostrata (minke whale), 331 nucleotides long. RefSeq lists it as uncharacterized. NCBI's taxonomy places the organism in Eukaryota, Metazoa, Chordata, Mammalia, Artiodactyla, Balaenopteridae. The record is from RefSeq and is a predicted model, not a curated record. The transcript is spliced from 3 exons.
UCUGUUUUGUCCUUUUGGAACUCUGAGAGCACCAGGCUCUGAAGAAGCUUGGAAGAGGAACCACAUGGAAAGAAAGAGCCAGCCCCCCUGCCAUUCUACCAUCUCACCAGAGGCCUCAGACCUAAAGCCAUGCUAGACGUCCCACCCCCAGUCAACUGAUCUGAUUUGAGCCCCUACAGGGGAGAGACCUCCCUUCUGAGUGGAUGCCGCACCUCUCCUGCUGCUGCCUGAAUGGGGAAGGCACGCAUGCAACAAAGAAGAUGAGCAUCAGAAUUUCUCUCUGAUGGCAUGGACACAGCCAGUGCUACAGAUGCCAACAUUUCUCCCAUGG